CAGUAGCCGCGGUAAUACAGAGGGUGCGAGCGUUAAUCGGAUUUACUGGGCGUAAAGCGUGUGUAGGUUGUUGUUCAAGUCAGUUGUGAAAUCCCCGGGCUCAACCUGGGAACUGCAUUGGUGACUGCAACGCUGGAGUGCGGCAGAGGGGGAUGGAAUUCCGCGUGUAGCAGUGAAAUGCGUAGAUAUGCGGAGGAACACCGAUGGCGAAGGCAAUCCCCUGGGCCUGCACUGACGCUCAUGCACGAAAGCGUGGGGAGCAAACAGGAUUAGAGACCCCAGUAGUCCCUGUCUCUUAUAA
RNAcentral lists this ribosomal RNA (301 nucleotides) under uncultured bacterium. RNAcentral's name for it is "partial 16S ribosomal RNA". It matches the Rfam family "Bacterial small subunit ribosomal RNA", at positions 509 to 809 of the family's 1533-position model. The record is from RNAcentral.